This is a long non-coding RNA of Mauremys reevesii (Reeves's turtle), 579 nucleotides long. RefSeq lists it as uncharacterized. Lineage: Eukaryota; Metazoa; Chordata; Testudines; Geoemydidae. The record is from RefSeq and is a predicted model, not a curated record. The transcript has 3 exons.
AGCUGUGCUCCAUUGGCCACAGCUGAUGCCUGAUGAGUCCUGCAGGACUUUCAGUUUCAUCUGCUAGGGCAUGUGCUACACUCCUCACUGAACAGAGCUCUCUUUGGGAAGUCUGUAUGGGACUGCUGGGGCCCUGGGAGCAACCCUGUUAUGGCUGAGUCCCUGAACUCUGCACUCUCUUCGGCUUUCUCAUCUUUCUUGGUCUCCUGAUCUAUCUGUCUGAUCAGAGUGACAAGGUAGAUGUAUCCUGCAAAAUGCUAGGCAAGGAAGGGGUUAAAACCCUGUCUGAGGCAGCCAGGAGGUCUCAGCAAUUCACCGAUCAACUUUAAUUAGACAACACCAGCAAUGUGGACAGAGCGCAGUCACCUCACCAGGCAGGCAGCUUGCGAGUGGCUCAGCGAUGCCUAGUUAUUUGUCCUGCGAGAGGAGCCGGGAAGGAUGUUGCUAAGUAAAUAAGAGGGGAGAAUGAGAAGGAGGUUGCAAAGCAGCAUCGGCCCACACUUUCUAAGAGCAUCCUCCUCCUCCUGGAGCAUUCAGAGGGUACCAAAACAUUCAUUUCACUCCACUGCGCUAUAGAAC